Molecule: transfer RNA, 59 nt
Organism: Loxodonta africana (African savanna elephant)
Lineage: Eukaryota; Metazoa; Chordata; Mammalia; Proboscidea; Elephantidae
Rfam family: tRNA
About the family: Transfer RNA (tRNA) molecules are approximately 80 nucleotides in length. Their secondary structure includes four short double-helical elements and three loops (D, anti-codon, and T loops).
Source: Rfam
AGUGGUUAAGCGUUUGGCUGCUAACCAAAAGGUAGGCAGUUCAAAUCCACCAACCACUC